AUACUUACCUGGCAGGGGAGAUACCAUGAUCAUGAAGGUGGUUUUCCCGGGGCGAGGCUUAUCCAUUGCACUCCGAAUAUGCUGACCCCUGUGAUUUCCCCAGAUGUGGAAAACUUGACUGCAUGAUUUGUGGUAGUGGGGGGCUAUGUUUGCACUAUCCCCUG
This 164-nucleotide small nuclear RNA is filed under the name Carlito syrichta (Philippine tarsier). RNAcentral's name for it is "U1 spliceosomal RNA (ENSTSYG00000037361.1)". It matches the Rfam family "U1 spliceosomal RNA". Rfam says of the family: U1 is a small nuclear RNA (snRNA) component of the spliceosome (involved in pre-mRNA splicing). The record is from Rfam by way of RNAcentral. Lineage: Eukaryota; Metazoa; Chordata; Mammalia; Primates; Tarsiidae.